RNAcentral lists this ribosomal RNA (930 nucleotides) under Triticum aestivum (bread wheat). RNAcentral's name for it is "partial small subunit ribosomal RNA". Lineage: Eukaryota; Viridiplantae; Streptophyta; Magnoliopsida; Poales; Poaceae. The record is from RNAcentral.
AUGGCCCGAGCAUGGAGACAUCAUUUUCAUGCGAUUUCUCAAGUAUCUGCAAAUCUCUUCAUGGCCCAUUUUACCUCUCAAGAAUCCAUGAUGUUUGUUCUUAUGCGUCAGCCAUGGACAAUGGGUUCAGAUAAUCUACUCAUUGAAUGGAUAGACCUAGCAAAUGAAUCUAAGACGAAGGAUGAUUACAAGUUUGACCACAUAUAUGUGAGUGUUCGUGUUUAUGGGAUCCUCUCUACUGUUGGCAAGCCGUCUGAAUUUCACCCUUUGCAAGAAAGCAUGUUGUUUGCUAGAUCAGACUAUAUUUGGGCAACUACAAAGAUUAGAAUUAGUGAUUCAAUUGUGGACAAAAUCAGCUUGACAUUGGAUGAAAAGAACUCUAAAACGGUCUAUCUUUAUUAUGAAAAGAUUGGCAGAAUCUGCUUGUUUUGUGGAGUGAUGUUUCAUACAGUCCAACAUUGCCAGAAGAGGAAUAACAUUAUUAUGGAAAGGGUGAGAAGUGGACAAACAACAGAAGAUAUUCCCUUUUUCAGAUAUGGAGAAUGGGUAAUGGACUCAGGUAAAAUUCCAUCACAGGCCAUUGAAAAAGAAAUAGCCACAAAUCCCAUUCUGAGCAGAUUUCAAAAGAUGUUUCAGGAGGAUCUGAAUAAGGAAAGAGUCAAACCAGUCCAGGGUAAACAGAUCUGCACCCAAGUUUCCCUACAAGGCAAUACUACUAUGGUAGCACUGGUCCAACUUUCACUACAGAGAAGCAAAGUAAUCAGAAUAUGUACACAAGAGAGGGACAAGUCAAAGGUACUGGUGGUGCCGAAAUGCACAGGACAACUUCAUUUAACAAUUCUGGAAUUCAUGACUUUGAAAUGGAGGUUUUGCUUGAGAAUGUUCAGUAUGGACAGAAGCUUGGGCCUGGAAUGGUCCAACGAUAUAUGA